CGGGAAGAGAUUCUUCAUCUGUUAAGAAAACAAAGAGAAGAGAGAAUAGAGAAAGAACUGGUUUCCCUUCUUCAUAAGCCAAAGGUCAAGAUACCUCAAACAAAGAAAGUACUCACGAAAUCAGAAAGAAAGGACCAAGAAGAAGUGAAGGCCUUGGGUCAGCUUGAUUGAUGGAGAUAAAUAAUCGAAGGACAUGAACAGGCCAUUUUUCAAAAGAAGAAAUGAACAUUAUGAACAACCUUAUGAAAAAAUGCUCCAAAUCACUGUAAGAGAAUUGCCAGUUGAAACAACUCUGAAGCCCAUAUCCACCAGAUUGACACAGAUAAGGAAAAAAGGGAAAUAGUAAUUGUUGCUGAAAAUCCAAGAAAGAGCUAGCAUUGGCUAUGUCCCUACAAAAAGCCUUCCUCCAAUUAAAGAAAUCAGAAGCCAAUUCUACUCAGCCUAUACAGUUCCUCUUGGUUCAGUCACCAAUCUCUUUAGCAAACAUCCCUCCCUCUACAACCUUUCAGCAUCUCUCUCCACAGAAUCCAAAGUACCAAAGAGGAGCCUAGCACAUGCCCUCUAGUAAAGAGACUCUGUGUGUGUGUAUGUAUAUAUAAAUGUGUGUAUAAAAUAUUAUAUAGAAUAACUAUAAGAUAAAUACAUGAUGUCAUAUAUUUAUCAUAUUCUAUAUAAUAUUAUACAUAUGUGUAUAAUAUAUUCUCCCUCAUGGAAUCAAAACACAUAUGCCCAGAACCAUAGGAAGUACUCUAUCCCACUUCCUCUAAACUUUGUAUAUAUUUUGUCCAUUAUUGUGUAUAUAUUGUCAAAAUAAAGCUACU
Molecule: non-coding RNA, 821 nt
Organism: Phascolarctos cinereus (koala)
Lineage: Eukaryota; Metazoa; Chordata; Mammalia; Diprotodontia; Phascolarctidae
Source: RefSeq, a predicted model, not a curated record